Molecule: unclassified non-coding RNA, 256 nt
Filed under: Capnodiales sp.
Lineage: Eukaryota; Fungi; Ascomycota; Dothideomycetes; Capnodiales
Description: partial contains 5.8S ribosomal RNA, internal transcribed spacer 2, and large subunit ribosomal RNA
Source: RNAcentral
CGCACAUUGCGCCCUUUGGCAUUCCGAGGGGCAUGCCCGUUCGAGCGUCAUUAAAUCCAAUCAAGCCCGGCUUGGUAUUGGGCACCGGGGCCUCCCCCGCGCCUCAAUUUCACCGGCUGGCCGUCGUCCGUCUUAGCGUUGUGACACACUUCUCGCUAGCGAUGGACGCCGACCGCGCCGUUAAACACCCCCGAGUUCUUAACGGAAUUCGAUUAAGAUUGACCUCGGAUCGGGUAGGAAUACCCGCUGAACUUAA